UAAUCGCGGAUCAGCAUGCCGCGGUGAAUACGUUCUCGGGCCUUGUACACACCGCCCGUCGCACCAUGGGAGUCGGUAACACCCGAAGUCUGUAGCCUGACGCAAGAGGGCGCAGCCGAAGGUGGGAUUGAUGACUGGGGUGAAGUCGUAACAAGGUAGC
RNAcentral lists this ribosomal RNA (160 nucleotides) under uncultured bacterium. RNAcentral describes it as "partial 16S ribosomal RNA". It matches the Rfam family "Bacterial small subunit ribosomal RNA", at positions 1339 to 1500 of the family's 1533-position model. The record is from RNAcentral.